Molecule: ribosomal RNA, 490 nt
Filed under: uncultured bacterium
Lineage: Bacteria
Description: partial 16S ribosomal RNA
Rfam family: Bacterial small subunit ribosomal RNA
Source: RNAcentral
AUUGAACGCUGGCGGCAGGCCUAACACAUGCAAGUCGAACGGUAUCAGGGAUCAGCUUGCUGAUUCGCUGACGAGUGGCGGACGGGUGAGUAAUGUCUGGGAAACUGCCUGAUGGAGGGGGAUAACUACUGGAAACGGUAGCUAAUACCGCAUAACGUCGCAAGACCAAAGAGGGGGACCUUCAGGCCUCUUGCCAUCGGAUGUGCCCAGAUGGGAUUAGCUAGUAGGUGGGGUAACGGCUCACCUAGGCGACGAUCCCUAGCUGGUCUGAGAGGAUGACCAGCCACACUGGAACUGAGACACGGUCCAGACUCCUACGGGAGGCAGCAGUGGGGAAUAUUGCACAAUGGGCGCAAGCCUGAUGCAGCCAUGCCGCGUGUAUGAAGAAGGCCUUCGGGUUGUAAAGUACUUUCAGCGGGGAGGAAGGGAGUAAAGUUAAUACCUGUGCUCAUUGACGUUACCCGCAGAAGAAGCACCGGCUAACUCCGUG